This 119-nucleotide transfer RNA is filed under the name Candidatus Peregrinibacteria bacterium. RNAcentral describes it as "tRNA-OTHER". It matches the Rfam family "tRNA". Rfam says of the family: Transfer RNA (tRNA) molecules are approximately 80 nucleotides in length. Their secondary structure includes four short double-helical elements and three loops (D, anti-codon, and T loops). Lineage: Bacteria; Candidatus Peregrinibacteriota. The record is from RNAcentral.
GCCGCCGUAGUUUAAUUGGUUAGAGCACCGGACUCAUAAAAUAUGAGUGAGGAGCCUUCGGGCAAUGACUAAGUAUUUGAGCAAUCCGGAAGUCGGGAGUUCAAGUCUCCCCGGCGGCA